UCCUACAACCAUACCACCCUGAAUGUGCCCAAUCUUGUCUGAUCUCAGAAGCUAAGCAGGGUCAGGUCUGGUUAGUACUUGGGUGGGGAGGUGGCCUGGGAAUACUGGGUGCUGUAGGCU
Molecule: ribosomal RNA, 120 nt
Filed under: Prolemur simus (greater bamboo lemur)
Lineage: Eukaryota; Metazoa; Chordata; Mammalia; Primates; Lemuridae
Source: RNAcentral